ACACCCCUCAAGCCUGGCUUGGUAUUGGGCGUCGGGACUUCCCCGCGCCCCGAUUUCGCCGGCUGGACGACCCCGAUCUCUCAAGCGUUGUACAAUCUCGCUGGUAGGACGGGCGGCCACGCCGUUAAACCCUUAAUCAAAG
RNAcentral lists this unclassified non-coding RNA (142 nucleotides) under uncultured Devriesia. RNAcentral describes it as "sequence contains ITS2". Lineage: Eukaryota; Fungi; Ascomycota; Dothideomycetes; Mycosphaerellales; Teratosphaeriaceae. The record is from RNAcentral.